RNAcentral lists this ribosomal RNA (429 nucleotides) under Chloroflexota bacterium. RNAcentral describes it as "Chloroflexi bacterium partial 16S ribosomal RNA". It matches the Rfam family "Bacterial small subunit ribosomal RNA", at positions 355 to 776 of the family's 1533-position model. Lineage: Bacteria; Bacillati; Chloroflexota. The record is from RNAcentral.
UGGGGAAUAUUUCACCAUGGGCGCAAGCCUGAUGCAGCCAUGCCGCGUGUGUGAAGAAGGCCUUCGGGUUGUAAAGCACUUUCAGCGGGGAGGAAGGCGUUAAGGUUAAUAACCUUGGCGAUUGACGUUACCCGCAGAAGAAGCACCGGCUAACUCCGUGCCAGCAGCCGCGGUAAUACGGAGGGUGCAAGCGUUAAUCGGAAUUACUGGGCGUAAAGCGCACGCAGGCGGUCUGUCAAGUCGGAUGUGAAAUCCCCGGGCUCAACCUGGGAACUGCAUUCGAAACUGGCAGGCUAGAGUCGUGUAGAGGGGGGUAGAAUUCCAGGUGUAGCGGUGAAAUGCGUGGAGAUCUGGGGGAAUACCGGUGGCGAAGGCGGCCCCCUGGACAAAGACUGACGCUCAGGUGCGAAAGCGGGGGAAGCAAACAGG